AUGGAUUGGCCGGGUACCGGACCACACAGCCCUGGCGACGCCUCUGCGCCACAUGCAGAAGUUCUCGAAGUGAAGAGCUCGUUAUGUGGCUCCAUCGUCAGAAGCAUGGACUCUGUGUCUCUCCCUCUCGCUUCAUGGUCUCAAAUCCCCGAUGACAUAACUUGGAACAUCCUCGUGCUGGUUUCACCACAUCCUGUCACCAUUGCAAGGAUAGCAGCCAUGUGCAGGGCGUGGCGCUCCAUUGUCAAGACUAGCAAGUUCCUGAGGACGCUGAUGGAGCAUCACGGAAUAACACCACUCAUGGGUUUUUUCACCAACCUCUCUAGCUCAGAUCGUUUCCUCCCUUUUGAUCAACAUCUAGGUGUUGUCGGUGUCCCUCGAUUCACCCUGCCCAUCUUGUAUCCAGACAACCGCCUCCCCACUCUCUCCACGAGCCACUGGGAGGUUCUUGCUUGCCGCCAUGGUAAGGUUUUGCUGCUUGCAGGGGCCAUACAUAUGCUCUUAGUGUGGGAUCCAAUCACUGGCGAGCAGACAUUAACACGCCCCCACACCGAACUGACCUACGUCCACGGCACAGUGGUAUGUGUCGCCCACCACCACCAUGGAAAUUGUCACUCUUCACCGUGGGUUGUUGUCUGGAUUGUGAACACCGGCCGCGAAAUUAGGGUAAGAAGGUGGUCGUCAGUAACCCAGGCUUGGAAUAUCCCGGAAGCUCAUGUUUGGUUCAACGGCCUGGUUGAUUUCCGCCCAAGCACGUUGAUCGGUGAUGUUUUGUAUUGGAAUUUGACUAAUAACUUCCUCAUUGCCUUCGACAUGGCUGAGAAUCUGCUCCACCCUAUCGAGUUGCCCGAAGCAAUGCCAUCUCUUAAAUUCUGA
RNAcentral lists this ribosomal RNA (876 nucleotides) under Triticum aestivum (bread wheat). RNAcentral's name for it is "partial small subunit ribosomal RNA". The record is from RNAcentral. Lineage: Eukaryota; Viridiplantae; Streptophyta; Magnoliopsida; Poales; Poaceae.